This 2351-nucleotide long non-coding RNA is filed under the name Solanum tuberosum (potato). Its description in RNAcentral is "long non-coding RNA (STUB_LNC007804)". Lineage: Eukaryota; Viridiplantae; Streptophyta; Magnoliopsida; Solanales; Solanaceae. The record is from RNAcentral.
CGCCAGCUUCCUUUUCACCGCAAAGAUGAGGAUGACUCGAAAGACUAAAAAAUACGCAAGGGUGGAGUCCGAAUAGACUCGAGUUGAUGUCAUAUGUAACAAAAGAAAGGGAGAAAAUUAGUAGAAUAACCUGAAAAUAAAAGAAGAAACAAUUGAGCACCAUUUACAACAAAAUAUUGAACUUAACUUAAAUGAUCCUUAACUAACCAACUAGGAGAUAGAAACUACAAAUAUGAUCAAUUUUGAAAAGCUACAAACAAAUGAAAACAAGUCACAUAACUCCUUGAGGACCCACAAAUGACAAGUUAAUAAGAAAGAUAAUCACACUUAAAGAAUUCAUCAAAUUCAAUUAUCAAAGGACAUGCUACAGGGAAUACUAUGCUACUGUUUUCAGAUUUUACAAAGUUACUCUUUCUACUAAAAGAGAUGCCACAACUACUCUUCUCAAAGAAAAUGAAACUCUAGAUAUUGUAUUAAAUCAUGAUCAUUUUUAUCAUUUUUGGAAUAAAAUCUAAACCCAUUGUAUUGCAUCGGUUUACGAAAAUUGAGGAAAGGUUGUAUUCAUAUCCAAGUAAACAAAGGAACGGUAUUACUCCUAAUGGUUACUGAGGCAAACUAUGAGAAAAUCAUGAUAAAUGAAUGACUAUACAUUCAUACUUCAUAUAUUCACAAGCUACCGGAAUACUGAAAAAUUAAUGAGCACAAAUGCUAGGAUUGAUAAGAGUUCAUACGACCAAAUAACAUAAACCGAAACUCAAAGCAAUUUUUAUUACAUUAGCUAAAAUUUGUUUAAAAGAUACCAAGCAAAAGGCUAAAGCUAAACAAUACACAACAAGGACUAAAGCCAAACCGUCCCCAACAAAACAUGUCGAAACACCCAGAUUAUGAUUUUCAUGCUUGAGCUCAAUCAAAGAACCUAAUGGGUUAUCCAAAAGCUGGACCUAGAUUUUAAAAUAGAAGCUGUCAUGUUGAACAUGGACGGGCAGAACCUUAUACGAGCAUGAAAAUUGGACGAAACUAUGGAUCCACGACACACCUCAAUCUGAACUCUUUGCAGCGAACAACCAGUAACUCAAAUUGACAAUAGUAUGAACAAGAACUAUAGCGUACUUGAUCAACACAACUAUCCAACAGAAUGUUCAAGCAAGGUAAUAAAAAAUAUUGGCCAGCCGGCCCAAAGUAAAAACUCGACUCAAGAGUCCAACAACUUCAUUUAGUAUCAAGAUAAAAUCACAACGAGCAAUCGAUUCAAACAACCCAUAACGAUCCAAUUAUAAGGUAAGAAACUAAGCCACGAAAUAAGAAUGGAAACAAAUUACCUUCUUCAGAGCAGCGAAUGGGACGAAUCAGCUUGAAGGAGCUUUCCAACCACCACACGAGCAGGGGCGGACCCACGUUGGUUCCAGGGGGUUCACCCGAACCCCCUCGGCAAAAAAUUACACUAUAUAUAUAAGGUAAUUUUCUGUAUUUAUGUGAAUAUAUAUAUAUAUUUUGAACCCCCUCAAUGACAAGGAGAAAGAGAUAGCCUAGUGGCAUUUUCCCUGAAAAUUAAGCCUCAUGUUGAGGGUUCGAAUCCCUGCAUUAGCGUUUUAUUUUUUUCUUUAUCAGUUUCAGUUUUUUUUUUUUUUUUUUUUUUAAGGUUUCAGUUCCGUUUUCACGUUUUUUUUAGUUUUUUAUUUUAUAAAACAUGCUAAAAGUGUGGUUUUAAACCCAAAAAAAUUCAAAGGUCCACCACUAAAACUAAAUACUACUACUUUCUUGAAAUUUUGUUUUGUUGGCUUAUAUAUACACAUUUAUACUUUUAUUUUUCAAACCCCUUGAACGAAAAUUCUGGGUCCGCCACUGCACACGAGGGAUUCCAGUGGAAAUCCAAGUUCCGAAACAGCAAACUAGCUAUAAAUCCAAUCUCCAAAAACCCUCUCUAACACUUGACUGUAAAUGGCUAUUUAUAGGGAAGAUUGGGCAGAUUUAGAGGGGAAAACGGGAGGGAUUUUUGGAAUUUGAAAUUCGAAAUUCAAAUUCUCUUAUGAGAUAAGGUUGCCAGCUCAAUUGUACCAAUUCAAACGGUAAGAAAAUCGCAGCCGUUUCAUCUAGAGAGGAAGGAUGAACGAGCUACAAGAUUGUAACACCUGGAAAAAUCGAGUACAAGCGGAUAAGGGAGAGAGAGAGAGAGGACUACACGCACUGCUCGCUGGACUCGGACACGCUGGAUUUCUGAUUUCUGCUGGAGUUUGCGUGAAGAAGAAGAAGCGUUGUACCGGGUCGUCUGGUUUUGUUCUGUACGCGUCUGGUUGUAUUGAACUGAUGGGUUUUUGGUAUUGAUUUGGGUUGCUGAAUGUAUUGUUAAUUUU